This 205-nucleotide ribosomal RNA is filed under the name Escherichia coli. Its description in RNAcentral is "partial 16S ribosomal RNA". It matches the Rfam family "Bacterial small subunit ribosomal RNA", at positions 1 to 211 of the family's 1533-position model. The record is from RNAcentral. Lineage: Bacteria; Pseudomonadati; Pseudomonadota; Gammaproteobacteria; Enterobacterales; Enterobacteriaceae.
UUAAAUUGAAGAGUUUGAUCAUGGCUCAGAUUGAACGCUGGCGGCAGGCCUAACACAUGCAAGUCGAACGGUAACAGGAAGCAGCUUGCUGCUUUGCUGACGAGUGGCGGACGGGUGAGUAAUGUCUGGGAAACUGCCUGGUGGAGGGGGAUAACUACUGGAAACGGUAGCUAAUACCGCAUAACGUCGCAAGACCAAAGAGGGG